UGUUUCGGCUAGGGGGCCAUCCCGGCUUACCAACCCGAUGCAAACUGCGAAUACCGGAGAAUGUUAUCACGGGAGACACACGGCGGGUGCUAACGUCCGUCGUGAAGAGGGAAACAACCCAGACCGCCAGCUAAGGUCCCAAAGUCAUGGUUAAGUGGGAAACGAUGUGGGAAGGCCCAGACAGCCAGGAUGUUGGCUUAGAAGCAGCCAUCAUUUAAAGAAAGCGUAAUAGCUCACUGGUCGAGUCGGCCUGCGCGGAAGAUGUAACGGGGCUAAACCAUGCACCG
RNAcentral lists this ribosomal RNA (287 nucleotides) under Cronobacter sakazakii. RNAcentral's name for it is "partial 23S ribosomal RNA". It matches the Rfam family "Bacterial large subunit ribosomal RNA", at positions 911 to 1196 of the family's 2925-position model. Lineage: Bacteria; Pseudomonadati; Pseudomonadota; Gammaproteobacteria; Enterobacterales; Enterobacteriaceae. RNAcentral also lists the same sequence under 1 other name. The record is from RNAcentral.